This 949-nucleotide ribosomal RNA is filed under the name Trichomonas vaginalis G3. RNAcentral's name for it is "16S ribosomal RNA". It matches the Rfam family "Eukaryotic small subunit ribosomal RNA", at positions 793 to 1827 of the family's 1831-position model. The record is from RNAcentral. Lineage: Eukaryota; Parabasalia; Trichomonadida; Trichomonadidae.
ACAUGAAUGACUCAGCGCAGUAUGAAGUCUUUGUUUUCUUCCGAAAACAAGCUCAAUGAGAGCCAUCGGGGGUAGAUCUAUCUCAUGACGAGUGGUGGAAUACUUUGACUCAUGAGAGAGAAGCUGAGGCGAAGGCGUCUACCUAGAGGGUUUCUGUCGAUCAAGGGCGAGAGUAGGAGUAUCCAACAGGAUUAGAGACCCUGGUAGUUCCUACCUUAAACGAUGCCGACAGGAGUUUGUCAUUUGUUAAUGGCAGAAUCUUUGGAGAAAUCAUAGUUCUUGGGCUCUGGGGGAACUACGACCGCAAGGCUGAAACUUGAAGGAAUUGACGGAAGGGCACACCAGGGGUGGAGCCUGUGGCUUAAUUUGAAUCAACACGGGGAAACUUACCAGGACCAGAUGUUUUUUAUGACUGACAGGCUUCGGGUCUUUCAGGAUAUUGUUUUUGGUGGUGCAUGGCCGUUGGUGGUGCGUGGGUUGACCUGUCUAGCGUUGAUUCAGCUAACGAGCGAGAUUAUCGCCAAUUAUUUACUUUGCCGAAGUCCUUCGGUUAAAGUUCUAAUUGGGACUCCCUGCGAUUUUAGCAGGUGGAAGAGGGUAGCAAUAACAGGUCCGUGAUGCCCUUUAGAUGCUCUGGGCUGCACGCGUGCUACAAUGUUAGGAUCAAUAGGACUGCGAGCCUGAGAGGGUGCGCUACUCUUAUAAUCCCUAACGUAGUUGGGAUUGACGUUUGUAAUCAGCGUCAUGAACCAGGAAUCCCUUGUAAAUGUGUGUCAACAACGCACGUUGAAUACGUCCCUGCCCUUUGUACACACCGCCCGUCGCUCCUACCGAUUGGAUGACUCGGUGAAAUCACCGGAUGCUUACGAGCAGAAAGUGAUUAAAUCACGUUAUCUAGAGGAAGGAGAAGUCGUAACAAGGUAACGGUAGGUGAACCUGCCGUUGGAUC